This 2399-nucleotide long non-coding RNA is filed under the name Mytilus galloprovincialis (Mediterranean mussel). Lineage: Eukaryota; Metazoa; Mollusca; Bivalvia; Mytilida; Mytilidae. The record is from RNAcentral.
CAGAGACAUAUAAUACAAGAGAUUGGCAACUCUAGUAGAGUCUAUAUAACGGCCAAUGAAAUCACUUGGCCACCGGAAGUGCUUGGGAUUAUGAUGUGACCUGGGAUGAAGGAGGAUCGAGAUGAGAAAAUUCCGCCAUUGUUGUUAAAAGAGACGAUACGCUUACAGAUUUGUUUUCUCGUUUAUGUCGAUUGCUUUCACAGCUAAAGCAUGUAAGUAUAUUCAAAAGAUACAUUUAACUAGUUCUACCAAUUUGUUUAUACUAUAAUGUGCUGAGAUGAUGAUAAUAAUCAAAUGCAGACCAAUUUAAAUUCGGUCCAUUCAGCUUCCCCUCUUUAUUGCUGUAGAACCGGUGUGGCCCACCAUUUUUUUUCCAUAAAACUUUAAAAUUUACGAUUUUAUAUACAAUUUUAAAGUGUUAUUCUACUCCCGAUUGUUAUCCCGUUAAAAUGAUACUAUUUUCGUAUAUUUUGAUCAAAUAGUGUUUUCAUAAAAUACCAUCAAAGGUGAUUUAUUUUUUUCACAUUGAUACCCAAAUCCAGCUAUGCGAGAAUUACCUUUUUUUUCAUAAAACUUAGAAAUUAUCGAAUAAAUAUGCAAUUUAAUGAGCCUGUAUAAAUUCCAAAUGUUAUCUUGUUAAAAUAAGAUCAGCGGGGCAUAUAUGUGUAUACCAUGGACAUGUACACAUUCCCAAUAUAUUCUUCUUUUCUUUAUAAAUUUUGCCCAUUAUUCUCUAUUCUUUAUUUAUUUUAGCACCCCAUCAUUCUCCAAUCUUGAUAUUUUGAUAAAAUGUUUCCUCUUGUCUUUACUUUUCUGAUUUCAAUUUAUGCAGUUAUUCCAAUACUCCUAUUGUAUGAAUGUAGGACAGUGUCAGAAAGUCACAGGGCAAAAGUCACAAUUCAUUUUUUCUGAUUAUUUCUUUGAACAAAAAAACGCUUAUUUCUAUUCUUGAACAAUUGUAUAUAAACCAACUUUGUAAACAAAAAUUAUCAAAAACAAUUAAAAAAUGAUCAAAUAAUUGUUGAAAAAACAAAAUGUCAAACUGGUUUGGCACUUAAAUGGCUUCAUGGUGCCAAGAAAUCUUUCUUUUGCAUGAUUAAAAUUAAAUAAAUCUUCAUUUUUCAAAUAUAAUGACACAUUUAUUAAACUUUAAUAUGAAUAUAUGUAUUAAAAAGUAAAUAUUUAAAGAUAUUUCUCUUAUAUAUACAAACAAUUGUCAACAGAUUAUUUGUGACUUUUUGUCCUACCAAAUUUGUGACUUUAUGUCCUGUGACUUUCUGUCCGUUUACCUUUUGUAAACACCUUCCCAUUGGCGGAUCCAGCCCCUUUUUUUUGGAUGAUCAAUGAAUUUGAAUGGGGACAUGUGGUUGGAACCCCCUUUAUCCUGGGUUGAUCCGCCCCUGCUUCCAGACCCUCAUGAGAUAGAAGCAGAGACUAAGUAAAGUUGAUGUCAGCAACUUACAUUGUAUGUUCACUGUACGAUGUUUAACAAUUGACAAAUAUAUCAAAUAUUUGUUCCUAAUAGCAAGCUUGAAAGGUCCAUACAUGACAAAAUGAAAUUUAAAAUAGAUUUAGCAUAAUAAAAACCUGCAGAAUGUUGUAUGACAUACAUGUAGGAAGUAAAGUUUAAAAGUAAGACAAAUAGAUGUUGUAUAAUAGGCUCUACAAAUUCAAAUUUCUUUUCAACUCUAAAAUAUUAUUUUUUUUUAAUUUAGAAUGCCAAAAGAGGAAAAGAUGUAGUAAGUUAACAAAAGGAGUUAAAAAGAAAGGUAAUCCUCGACCAUGGACAGCUGUUGAUACCAUUAUGGAGGAGAUAUCUGUUGCAGUUUCAAUCCACACUGAAGAUGAAAAGGAUCAUCCAAUUAUGACACAUCUCUGGUCGAGUUUGUACGUUCUGAGGAAAUUUCUAUUACAUCAGAAGAAGUCAAAGGAGAACUCUUGUUAGAUGAACAUUCAGACCACACUUAUGCAGCAAAAGAACAGCCAUUUGAGAAUGAAAAAAUAUGUACGCUUGAAUUUGAUUGCCAUGCUGAUUUUUUUCUUGCACCACUGGAAGGCACAGAGCAACUGAUUACACAAUACAUUUGUAAUUGAGAUAUUUGCAGUGAAUGAGACACACAAUGAACAUGAAGAACCUUGCCUUUCUCCCAUUCUCCCUUUCAGACUUUAUGCAAUUUAUUACAAGUUAGCAUCAAUGAUACAUGUACAUAUAUCCUUAGCUGUACAGAUACCGAAAUUUGCAUACAGUUGAACUGUACCAGAUCAGUUGCAGGGAAAUUAGCACGAAGCUCUCAGUUAUCAUUGACAGUAACAUUAUAAGUGAAUGUUUGAUAAUAAAAAUAUUAUUUAUACCUGGAAUGAGUUUUGUUCUCUUAUAUCUUGGUUUAAUUAUUGAAAAA